GGACGCAAGUCUGAACCAGCCAAGUCGCGUGAAGGAUGACUGCCCUACGGGUUGUAAACUUCUUUUGUAUGGGAGUAAAAAGAACUACGCGUAGUUUAUUGCAAGUACCAUACGAAUAAGCAUCGGCUAACUCCGUGCCAGCAGCCGCGGUAAUACGGAGGAUGCAAGCGUUAUCCGGAUUUAUUGGGUUUAAAGGGUGCGUAGGCGGGAUUAUAAGUCAGCGGUGAAAGUUUGAGGCUCAACCUUAAAAUUGCCGUUGAAACUGUUUUUCUUGAGUAUAUUUGAAGUAGGCGGAAUUCGUGGUGUAGCGGUGAAAUGCAUAGAUAUCACGAAGAACUCCAAUUGCGAAGGCAGCUUACUAAACUAUAACUGACGCUGAAGCACGAAAGCGUGGGUAUCAAACAGGAUUAGAUACCCUGGUAGUCCACGCCGUAAACGAUGAUUACUAGCUGUUUGUGAUAUUACAAUAAGCGGCUAAGCGAAAGCGAUAAGUAAUCCACCUGGGGAGUACG
Molecule: ribosomal RNA, 512 nt
Filed under: uncultured bacterium
Lineage: Bacteria
Description: bacterial SSU rRNA
Rfam family: Bacterial small subunit ribosomal RNA
Source: RNAcentral